RNAcentral lists this long non-coding RNA (663 nucleotides) under Arabidopsis lyrata. Its description in RNAcentral is "long non-coding RNA (ALYR_LNC001451)". Lineage: Eukaryota; Viridiplantae; Streptophyta; Magnoliopsida; Brassicales; Brassicaceae. The record is from RNAcentral.
AUAAAAAUGACAAGUAAUUAUUUACAAAUAAUUUGUGUUUAAUUAAAUGAGGGUAAUUUGGGUAGUUAUUGGCAUAAGUUACAUUAUUACCUUAAAACGACAACUAAUUUAAAACAAAAAAAAUGCUCUAAAACGACAACUAUUCGAAAACGGAGGGAGUACUAUUUAUUAUAAAAUUGGUGUGGUCUAAUGGUAACAUGUGGGGUUGAAUACAAUCUGAACCUGAGAGAGUCUCUUCGGAAGUAAUAUUUUUUUUCAUUUUCGGUUCACGGUUUUCUGUUAACCGGAUUGAAUCGGAAUUCAAACUGGUGAUCUUCUUCGUCGCCAUUAACGUCAACAAAUCGAGCAACCGUCGCUGCAACUUCUGACCAUGCUUCUUCUCCUCCGCCGAUUCAACCGCUGCGGCAACCAUCGUUCUCUUUGAUUCACACCUGAACCAAUCCAUGGAUCACUGCAACUUUCGAUUCUCAUCUCAUACAAAGUUAUAGACGAAGAAGAAGACUAAAGCGGCGAAGAAGGCUGAGACGGCGCUAGGAUUUAAUGUGAAGGGGUUAGGGUUUAAAAAAAAAAAAAAAAAAACAAUUUCAUUUUCUUGGUCGAACUUGGGUUUAAAAGGCAGUUCAUUCCUUAUUGUUACCACUAUACCACGACAAUCCAUUCGUG